Oncorhynchus tshawytscha (Chinook salmon) is the source of this 984-nucleotide long non-coding RNA. Lineage: Eukaryota; Metazoa; Chordata; Actinopteri; Salmoniformes; Salmonidae. The record is from Ensembl.
ACAGUCCAAACAGAGUACAUACCAUCAUGAUUUGACUCAACCAUGAGAGACCAUAACAUCACAGUCCAAACAGAGUACAUACCAUCAUGAUUUGUUGAGCCACACCCAUCAUCCUCAGGCUGCCGUUUCAGCUCCAUCUCUGUCAGUGGUGUAGCUGUUAGGAUAACAGAACAAGUAUAUUUCAGUGUAAAACAGUCUUGUAUUAGCUGAAGUACAGAAUCAUUGUGAUAGCUACGAGUGUUCCAGGUUGAAUGAACAGUUCAGUGUAAAACUGUCUUGUAUUAGCUGAAGUACAGAAUCAUUGUGAUAGCUACGAGUGUUCCAGGUUGACUGAACAGUUCAGUCUGCUACAUCCUUCUCAAACAGUUCAUGGUUAUGAUAUUUCAGUUCAGUGUGGAACAGUCUUGUAUUAGCUGAAGUACAGAAUCAUUGUGAUAGCUACGAGUGUUCCAGGUUGACUGAGCAGUUCAGUCUGCUACAUCCUUCUCAAACAGUUCAUGUAUAUGAGGUUUCAUUAUAUAAUAUAAGAUAUUAAAACCAAAUAUUGAGUUUUACCUUCAGUCAUGGUUCUGUCCCUCUUUGCCAAUUUUUUGUCAAAUGUCACCAGCUCUUUCAGGUCCUCUGCCUGCGUUGAACCAGCUCUUUCAGCUCCUCUGCCUGCGUUGAACCAGCUCUUUCAGGUCCUCUGCCUGCGUUGAACCAGCUCUUUCAGGUCCUCUGCCUGCGUUGAACCAGCUCUUUCAGGUCCUCUGCCUGCGUUGAACCAGCUCUUUCAGCUCCUCUGCCUGCGUUGAACCAGCAGUCUGAGUACUGAAGUUUUCUCACAAACAAAGAAAGGAAUAUCCUGUGCAUCUGGCAGAAUGGAGGGGAGGUUCCUGCUUCCCUGGAUUGUCUACAGUUCUGACAAACAUGGCCUGUGUCCCAAACGGUACCUUAUUCCCUUUAUAGUCUGCUACUGUAGAGCAGGGCCCUAGUGCACUAUAU